GACGAACCGAGCGAGCGUUGUUCGGAAUCACUGGGCUUAAAGGGCGCGUAGGCGGAUUCUCAAGUCCGGGGUGAAAUCCCACAGCUCAACUGUGGAACUGCCUCGGAUACUGGGAGUCUCGAGGGUGGCAGGGGUAUGCGGAACUAUCGGUGGAGCGGUGAAAUGCGUUGAUAUCGAUAGGAACUCCGGUGGCGAAGGCGGCAUACUGGUCCACUUCUGACGCUGAGGCGCGAAAGCCAGGGGAGCAAACGGG
RNAcentral lists this ribosomal RNA (253 nucleotides) under uncultured bacterium. Its description in RNAcentral is "partial 16S ribosomal RNA". It matches the Rfam family "Bacterial small subunit ribosomal RNA", at positions 524 to 776 of the family's 1533-position model. The record is from RNAcentral.